UUAACACAUGCAAGUCGAGGGGCAGCAUGGUCUUUGCUUGCUAAGGCCGAUGGCGACCGGCGCACGGGUGAGUAACACGUAUCCAACCUGCCGUCUACUCUUGGACAGCCUUCUGAAAGGAAGAUUAAUACAAGAUGGCAUCAUGAGUCCGCAUGUUCACAUGAUUAAAGGUAUUCCGGUAGACGAUGGGGAUGCGUUCCAUUAGAUAGUAGGCGGGGUAACGGCCCACCUAGUCUUCGAUGGAUAGGGGUUCUGAGAGGAAGGUCCCCCACAUUGGAACUGAGACACGGUCCAAACUCCUACGGGAGGCAGCAGUGAGGAAUAUUGGUCAAUGGGCGAGAGCCUGAACCAGCCAAGUAGCGUGAAGGAUGACUGCCCUAUGGGUUGUAAACUUCUUUUAUAAAGGAAUAAAGUCGGGUAUGGAUACCCGUUUGCAUGUACUUUAUGAAUAAGGAUCGGCUAACUCCGUGCCAGCAGCCGCGGUAAUACGGAGGAUCCGAGCGUUAUCCGGAUUUAUUGGGUUUAAAGGGAGCGUAGAUGGAUGUUUAAGUCAGUUGUGAAAGUUUGCGGCUCAACCGUAAAAUUGCAGUUGAUACUGGAUAUCUUGAGUGCAGUUGAGGCAGGCGGAAUUCGUGGUGUAGCGGUGAAAUGCUUAGAUAUCACGAAGAACUCCGAUUGCGAAGGCAGCCUGCUAAGCUGCAACUGACAUUGAGGCUCGAAAGUGUGGGUAUCAAACAGGAUUAGAUACCCUGGUAGUCCACACGGUAAACGAUGAAUACUCGCUGUUUGCGAUAUACUGCAAGCGGCCAAGCGAAAGCGUUAAGUAUUCCACCUGGGGAGUACGCCGGCAACGGUGAAACUCAAAGGAAUUGACGGGGGCCCGCACAAGCGGAGGAACAUGUGGUUUAAUUCGAUGAUACGCGAGGAACCCUACCCGGGCUUAAAUUGCAGAUGAAUUACGGUGAAAGCCGUAAGCCGCAAGGCAUCUGUGAAGGUGCUGCAUGGUUGUCGUCAGCUCGUGCCGUGAGGUGUCGGCUUAAGUGCCAUAACGAGCGCAACCCUUGUUGUCAGUUACUAACAGGUUCCGCUGAGGACUCUGACAAGACUGCCAUCGUAAGAUGUGAGGAAGGUGGGGAUGACGUCAAAUCAGCACGGCCCUUACGUCCGGGGCUACACACGUGUUACAAUGGGGGGUACAGAGGGCCGCUACCACGCGAGUGGAUGCCAAUCCCCAAAACCUCUCUCAGUUCGGACUGGAGUCUGCAACCCGACUCCACGAAGCUGGAUUCGCUAGUAAUCGCGCAUCAGCCACGGCGCGGUGAAUACGUUCCCGGGCCUUGUACACACCGCCCGUCAAGCCAUGGGAGCCGGGGGUACCUGAAGUGCGUAACCGCGAGGAGCGCCCUAGGGUAAAACUGGUGACUGGGGCU
RNAcentral lists this ribosomal RNA (1430 nucleotides) under uncultured bacterium. RNAcentral's name for it is "bacterial SSU rRNA". It matches the Rfam family "Bacterial small subunit ribosomal RNA". The record is from RNAcentral.